UGAGGUGUGCAAUGCCUGUGUAUCGGUU
RNAcentral lists this non-coding RNA (28 nucleotides) under Rattus norvegicus (Norway rat). The record is from RNAcentral. Lineage: Eukaryota; Metazoa; Chordata; Mammalia; Rodentia; Muridae.